GAGACAGCAGUCGCCACGGAAUACGGAGGGUGCAAGCGUUAAUCGGAAUUACUGGGCGUAAAGCGCACGCAGGCGGUCUGUCAAGUCAGAUGUGAAAUCCCCGGGCUUAACCUGGGAACUGCAUUUGAAACUGGCAGGCUAGAGUCUUGUAGAGGGGGGUAGAAUUCCAGGUGUAGCGGUGAAAUGCGUAGAGAUCUGGAGGAAUACCGGUGGCGAAGGCGGCCCCCUGGACAAAGACUGACGCUCAGGUGCGAAAGCGUGGGGAGCAAACAGGAUUAGAUACCCCGGUAGUCCCUGUCUCUUAUACA
Molecule: ribosomal RNA, 308 nt
Filed under: uncultured bacterium
Lineage: Bacteria
Description: partial 16S ribosomal RNA
Rfam family: Bacterial small subunit ribosomal RNA
Source: RNAcentral